Molecule: ribosomal RNA, 1372 nt
Filed under: uncultured bacterium
Lineage: Bacteria
Description: bacterial SSU rRNA
Rfam family: Bacterial small subunit ribosomal RNA
Source: RNAcentral
GAUGAACGCUGGCGGCGUGCCUAAUACAUGCAAGUCGAGCGAACGGACGAGAAGCUUGCUUCUCUGAUGUUAGCGGCGGACGGGUGAGUAACACGUGGAUAACCUACCUAUAAGACUGGGAUAACUUCGGGAAACCGGAGCUAAUACCGGAUAAUAUUUUGAACCGCAUGGUUCAAAAGUGAAAGACGGUCUUGCUGUCACUUAUAGAUGGAUCCGCGCUGCAUUAGCUAGUUGGUAAGGUAACGGCUUACCAAGGCAACGAUGCAUAGCCGACCUGAGAGGGUGAUCGGCCACACUGGAACUGAGACACGGUCCAGACUCCUACGGGAGGCAGCAGUAGGGAAUCUUCCGCAAUGGGCGAAAGCCUGACGGAGCAACGCCGCGUGAGUGAUGAAGGUCUUCGGAUCGUAAAACUCUGUUAUUAGGGAAGAACAUAUGUGUAAGUAACUGUGCACAUCUUGACGGUACCUAAUCAGAAAGCCACGGCUAACUACGUGCCAGCAGCCGCGGUAAUACGUAGGUGGCAAGCGUUAUCCGGAAUUAUUGGGCGUAAAGCGCGCGUAGGCGGUUUUUUAAGUCUGAUGUGAAAGCCCACGGCUCAACCGUGGAGGGUCAUUGGAAACUGGAAAACUUGAGUGCAGAAGAGGAAAGUGGAACUCCAUGUGUAGCGGUGAAAUGCGCAGAGAUAUGGAGGAACACCAGUGGCGAAGGCGACUUUCUGGUCUGUAACUGACGCUGAUGUGCGAAAGCGUGGGGAUCAAACAGGAUUAGAUACCCUGGUAGUCCACGCCGUAAACGAUGAGUGCUAAGUGUUAGGGGGUUUCCGCCCCUUAGUGCUGCAGCUAACGCAUUAAGCACUCCGCCUGGGGAGUACGACCGCAAGGUUGAAACUCAAAGGAAUUGACGGGGACCCGCACAAGCGGUGGAGCAUGUGGUUUAAUUCGAAGCAACGCGAAGAACCUUACCAAAUCUUGACAUCCUUUGACAACUCUAGAGAUAGAGCCUUCCCCUUCGGGGGACAAAGUGACAGGUGGUGCAUGGUUGUCGUCAGCUCGUGUCGUGAGAUGUUGGGUUAAGUCCCGCAACGAGCGCAACCCUUAAGCUUAGUUGCCAUCAUUAAGUUGGGCACUCUAAGUUGACUGCCGGUGACAAACCGGAGGAAGGUGGGGAUGACGUCAAAUCAUCAUGCCCCUUAUGAUUUGGGCUACACACGUGCUACAAUGGACAAUACAAAGGGCAGCGAAACCGCGAGGUCAAGCAAAUCCCAUAAAGUUGUUCUCAGUUCGGAUUGUAGUCUGCAACUCGACUACAUGAAGCUGGAAUCGCUAGUAAUCGUAGAUCAGCAUGCUACGGUGAAUACGUUCCCGGGCCU